GCAAACGCCGGGCCUUUCCGAGGCGCGAGCGUCCCGAAAAGGAUGCCGAGCCGCCAGGUUUCCGGUCCGGCUUUCGGAUGCAAGAAUAAACACCUUUAAAAACAGUCACUUACGAUUUUCUGCU
RNAcentral lists this small RNA (124 nucleotides) under Sinorhizobium meliloti 2011. RNAcentral describes it as "putative ncRNA". Lineage: Bacteria; Pseudomonadati; Pseudomonadota; Alphaproteobacteria; Hyphomicrobiales; Rhizobiaceae. The record is from RNAcentral.